GCCAAACAGGUUCAACCCAUUAUGCGUAAUCACAAAUGGCGUGUCAAGCUCCUCUCGGAAUUUUGUCCAAACAACCCAGCUCUUCUGGGGUUGAACGUGGGAGGUGGAGCGCAUGUGAAACUCAGGCUUCGUAGACCAAACAGAGAUUGGGAUUUCAUUCCAUUUGAUCAGGUUCUUGAUACGAUGCUUCAUGAACUAUGCCAUAAUGUUCACGGUCCUCACAACGCCAAUUUCUACAAGCU
Molecule: unclassified non-coding RNA, 242 nt
Filed under: Hevea brasiliensis (rubber tree)
Lineage: Eukaryota; Viridiplantae; Streptophyta; Magnoliopsida; Malpighiales; Euphorbiaceae
Source: RNAcentral